This 532-nucleotide ribosomal RNA is filed under the name uncultured bacterium. RNAcentral describes it as "bacterial SSU rRNA". It matches the Rfam family "Bacterial small subunit ribosomal RNA", at positions 9 to 526 of the family's 1533-position model. The record is from RNAcentral.
GAGUUUGAUCCUGGCUCAGGACGAACGCUGGCGGCGCGCCUAACACAUGCAAGUCGAACGGAGCUGAGAGGAGCUUGCUUUUCUUAGCUUAGUGGCGAACGGGUGAGUAACGCGUGAGUAACCUGCCCUGGAGUGGGGGACAACAGUUGGAAACGGCUGCUAAUACCGCAUAAGCCCACGAUCCGGCAUCGGAUUGAGGGAAAAGGAUUUAUUCGCUUCAGGAUGGACUCGCGUCCAAUUAGCUAGUUGGUGAGGUAACGGCCCACCAAGGCGACGAUUGGUAGCCGGACUGAGAGGUUGAACGGCCACAUUGGGACUGAGACACGGCCCAGACUCCUACGGGAGGCAGCAGUGGGGGAUAUUGCGCAAUGGGGGCAACCCUGACGCAGCAACGCCGCGUGAGUGAUGACGGCCUUCGGGUUGUAAAACUCUGUGAUCCGGGACGAAAAGGCAGAGUGCGAAGAACAAACUGCAUUGACGGUACCGGAAAAGCAAGCCACGGCUAACUACGUGCCAGCCGCCGCGGUAAUUC